RNAcentral lists this ribosomal RNA (607 nucleotides) under Zygaena orana contristans. RNAcentral describes it as "partial 12S ribosomal RNA". The record is from RNAcentral. Lineage: Eukaryota; Metazoa; Arthropoda; Insecta; Lepidoptera; Zygaenidae.
UGCGGUUAUACAAAAAUUAAAUUAAUUUUUUUUAGGAUUUAAUAAAUAAAAAAAAAUAUAAAUAAUUUUAAAUUUUAAAUUAUAAAGUGAAAUUUUAAAUUUAAAUAAAAUUUAUUUAUUUUUAUGAUAUUAAUAAAUUUUAUAAAAAACUAGGAUUAGAUACCCUAUUAUAAAAAUUUAAAUUUAAUAAUCUUAAAAUAGUAUAUAAUUUUUAUAGAAACUUAAAUAAUUUGGCGGUAUUUUAGUUCAUUUAGAGGAAUCUGUCUAAUAAUUGAUAAUCCACGAUUAAAUUUACUUAAUUUUUAAUUUUGUAUAUCGUUGUUAAAAAAAUAUUUUCAAAUAAUUAUAAUAUUUUAAAAUUUAAAUCAGAAAUUAAAUCAGAUCAAGAUGCAGAUUAUAAUUAAGAAUAUGAUGGAUUACAAUAAAUUUUAUUUUAUUUGAAUAUUAAUUUGGAAUAAAUUAAUUGAAAUUGGAUUUAAAUGUAAUUUUAUUUAUUUUGUUAAAAUGAUUAAAAAUUAAAAUAUGUACAUAUUGCCCGUCGCUUUCAUUUAUAAAUUGAAAUAAGUCGUAACAAAGUAGAGGUACUGGAAAGUGUUUCUAGAAAGAA